RNAcentral lists this ribosomal RNA (496 nucleotides) under uncultured bacterium. RNAcentral's name for it is "partial 16S ribosomal RNA". It matches the Rfam family "Bacterial small subunit ribosomal RNA", at positions 28 to 506 of the family's 1533-position model. The record is from RNAcentral.
GAUGAACGCUGGCGGCGUGCCUAAUACAUGCAAGUCGAGCGAACAGAUGAGGAGCUUGCUCCUCUGACGUUAGCGGCGGACGGGUGAGUAACACGUGGAUAACCUACCUAUAAGACUGGGAUAACUUCGGGAAACCGGAGCUAAUACCGGAUAAUAUAUUGAACCGCAUGGUUCAAUAGUGAAAGACGGUUUUGCUGUCACUUAUAGAUGGAUCCGCGCCGCAUUAGCUAGUUGGUAAGGUAACGGCUUACCAAGGCAACGAUGCGUAGCCGACCUGAGAGGGGGAGCGGCACAAUGGGAACUGAGAAACGGUCCAGACCCCUCGGGGGGGCAGGAGGGGGGAAUCUUCCGAAAUGGGCGAAAGCCUGAGGGAGCACCGCCGGGGGGGGGAUGAAGGUUUUCGGAUCGUAAAACCUUUUUAUUAGGGAAGAAAAAAUUUGAAAGUAACUAUGCACGUUUUGACGGUACCUAACCAAAAAGCCGCGGCUAACUACGU